UACGUAGGUGGCGAGCGUUGUCCGGAUUUACUGGGCGUAAAGGGAGCGUAGGCGGACUUUUAAGUGAGAUGUGAAAUACCCGGGCUCAACUUGGGUGCUGCAUUUCAAACUGGAAGUCUAGGGUGCAGGAGAGGAGAAUGGAAUUCCUAGUGUAGCGGUGAAAUGCGUAGAGAUUAGGAAGAACACCAGUGGCGAAGGCGAUUCUCUGGACUGUAACUGACGCUGAGGCUCGAAAGCGUGGGGAGCAAACAGGAUUAGAUACCCUGGUA
RNAcentral lists this ribosomal RNA (269 nucleotides) under uncultured prokaryote. RNAcentral describes it as "partial 16S ribosomal RNA". It matches the Rfam family "Bacterial small subunit ribosomal RNA", at positions 524 to 792 of the family's 1533-position model. The record is from RNAcentral.